RNAcentral lists this ribosomal RNA (497 nucleotides) under uncultured bacterium. Its description in RNAcentral is "partial 16S ribosomal RNA". It matches the Rfam family "Bacterial small subunit ribosomal RNA", at positions 28 to 507 of the family's 1533-position model. The record is from RNAcentral.
GACGAACGCUGGCGGCGUGCCUAAUACAUGCAAGUUGAGCGAUGAAGAUUGGUGCUUGCACCAAUUUGAAGAGCAGCGAACGGGUGAGUAACGCGUGGGGAAUCUGCCUUUGGGCGGGGGACAACAUUUGGAAACGAAUGCUAAUACCGCAUAACAACUUUAAACAUAAGUUUUAAGUUUGAAAGAUGCAAUUGCAUCACUCAAAGAUGAUCCCGCGUUGUAUUAGCUAGUUGGUGAGGUAAAGGCUCACCAGGGCGAUGAUACAUAGCCGACCUGAGAGGGUGAUCGGCCACAUUGGGACUGAGACACGGCCCAAACUCCUACGGGAGGCAGCAGUAGGGAAUCUUCGGCAAUGGACGAAAGUCUGACCGAGCAACGCCGCGUGAGUGAAGAAGGUUUUCGGAUCGUAAAACUCUGUUGGUAGAGAAGAACGUUGGUGAGAGUGGAAAGCUCAUCAAGUGACGGUAACUACCCAGAAAGGGACGGCUAACUACGUG